CGUUUCGGAGCACAGGCUCCGGACGUGCAGACUCAGCGUCCAUGGCUCACGGGCUCAGCCGCUCUGCAGCAUGUGGGAUCUUCCCAGACCGGGGCACGAACCCGCGUCCCCUGCAUCGGCAGGCGGACUCUCAACCACUGCGCCACCAGGGAAGCCCUGUAUUCUCUCUUUUCAAGUUAGAGUUUCCCCACGUGGCAAGUGAGAAUGGGGCUUCCUCACCUGUUUCACCGAAGGGAAAGUCAAGACAUUAAAGAGUGAUCUGCCCACAGUUCCCUUAUUUAGCAGACACGCAUGGAGCACCGACUCUCUGCCGCGGUCUCUGCAAGCACAGGGCGUUCAGGAGAAAGCAAACCAAAGGGCCUGUCCCCAGGAAGCUUGCAUUCUAGUGGGGAACACCAACAACAAAUAAAUACGUCAAAAUAUGUCAGCAUAUGUCAUAUGCUAUUCAGAUGGAUAAAGUAGGGAGGGGGAGAGUGAUUGACAGGAUGGGGAGAGUGUUGUUGUUUCACACAGUUGGUUCUGGAAGGCCCUGCAGAGGAGGUGACGUCAAAGAAGAGAUCUGAUAUAUAUGUGAGGCUAGGGUGUUCCAGGCCAUGUGACAAUGUCAUAACCACACUGAGUGCCCUCAAUCUUUUCUGUCUCUACCGCUGGCUCCCUGCAGCGAGGCAGGGACUCUUUGAAAAAAAGGAUGACAACUACUCAUCUUUGGGUCUUCGGUUCUGAUGGCGGUUCAGAUGCUAUUGGCAUGUUUCCACCUCCACCUCCAGAAGGGCUCGUGUGAUACUGAAUGCCCAGUCCAGGAACAGUGCCUGGAAUAGAGGAGAAUGUUUCUGACUGACUGCGUUGCAGAUAGAAUGCGCGAUUAGAAGCCUGCAGCUGGAGGUCAAGGUUCUAAAGCACAGAGGGGUUAAGUGAUUUAGCUGAGGUCACACAGCUAAUAAUUGGCAGAGCCAGAAUGAGUAUUUUUAAUAUAAAAAAGGACAGAGCUUUCCAGGAAAUGCCACCCUGAUGG
Long non-coding RNA from Lagenorhynchus albirostris (white-beaked dolphin), 1012 nucleotides. RefSeq lists it as uncharacterized. The transcript has 3 exons. The record is from RefSeq and is a predicted model, not a curated record. NCBI's taxonomy places the organism in Eukaryota, Metazoa, Chordata, Mammalia, Artiodactyla, Delphinidae.